RNAcentral lists this ribosomal RNA (432 nucleotides) under Lachnospiraceae bacterium oral taxon 496. Its description in RNAcentral is "bacterial SSU rRNA". It matches the Rfam family "Bacterial small subunit ribosomal RNA", at positions 28 to 442 of the family's 1533-position model. Lineage: Bacteria; Bacillati; Bacillota; Clostridia; Lachnospirales; Lachnospiraceae. The record is from RNAcentral.
GAUGAACGCUGGCGGCGUGCUUAACACAUGCAAGUCGAACGAAGCUAUUGUACGGAAGCCUUCGGGUGGAAGGGCGAUAGACUGAGUGGCGGACGGGUGAGUAACGCGUGGGCAACCUGCCUUAUACAGGGGGAUAACAGAGAGAAAUUUCCGCUAAUACCCCAUAAGACCCCGGUGUCGCAUGACACAGAGGUAAAAGAUUUAUUGGUAUAAGAUGGACCCGCGUCUGAUUAGCUGGUUGGUGAGGUAAAGGCUCACCAAGGCGACGAUCAGUAGCCGGCCUGAGAGGGUGAACGGCCACAUUGGGACUGAGACACGGCCCAAACUCCUACGGGAGGCAGCAGUGGGGAAUAUUGGACAAUGGGGGGAACCCUGAUCCAGCGACGCCGCGUGAGUGAAGAAGUAUUUCGGUAUGUAAAGCUCUAUCAGCAG